CACAGCGAAAGGUGCUUGCACCUUUCAAGUGAGUGGCGAACGGGUGAGUAACACGUGGACAACCUGCCUCAAGGCUGGGGAUAACAUUUGGAAACAGAUGCUAAUACCGAAUAAAACUUAGUGUCGCAUGACAAAAAGUUAAAAGGCGCUUCGGCGUCACCUAGAGAUGGAUCCGCGGUGCAUUAGUUAGUUGGUGGGGUAAAGGCCUACCAAGACAAUGAUGCAUAGCCGAGUUGAGAGACUGAUCGGCCACAUUGGGACUGAGACACGGCCCAAACUCCUACGGGAGGCUGCAGUAGGGAAUCUUCCACAAUGGGCGAAAGCCUGAUGGAGCAACGCCGCGUGUGUGAUGAAGGCUUUCGGGUCGUAAAGCACUGUUGUAUGGGAAGAACAGCUAGAAUAGGAAAUGAUUUUAGUUUGACGGUACCAUACCAGAAAGGGACGGCUAAAUACGUGCCAGCAGCCGCGGUAAUACGUAUGUCCCGAGCGUUAUCCGGAUUUAUUGGGCGUAAAGCGAGCGCAGACGGUUUAUUAAGUCUGAUGUGAAAGCCCGGAGCUCAACUCCGGAAUGGCAUUGGAAACUGGUUAACUUGAGUGCAGUAGAGGUAAGUGGAACUCCAUGUGUAGCGGUGGAAUGCGUAGAUAUAUGGAAGAACACCAGUGGCGAAGGCGGCUUACUGGACUGCAACUGACGUUGAGGCUCGAAAGUGUGGGUAGCAAACAGGAUUAGAUACCCUGGUAGUCCACACCGUAAACGAUGAACACUAGGUGUUAGGAGGUUUCCGCCUCUUAGUGCCGAAGCUAACGCAUUAAGUGUUCCGCCUGGGGAGUACGACCGCAAGGUUGAAACUCAAAGGAAUUGACGGGGGACCCGCACAAGCGGNGGAGCAUGUGGUUUAAUUCGAAGCAACGCGAAGAACCUUACCAGGUCUUGACAUCCUUUGAAGCUUUUAGAGAUAGAAGUGUUCUCUUCGGAGACNAAGGGGACAGGGGGGGGCANGGNCCGCCCGC
Molecule: ribosomal RNA, 1011 nt
Filed under: Leuconostoc sp.
Lineage: Bacteria; Bacillati; Bacillota; Bacilli; Lactobacillales; Lactobacillaceae
Description: bacterial SSU rRNA
Rfam family: Bacterial small subunit ribosomal RNA
Source: RNAcentral